GAGGCUCAUCAUCAUCAUCGCGCCUCUCAUAAGCCGGCUUCUCGUAGCCCUCCUCUUCUUGCCCCUCAUUACUUGGCCUCCCAUAACUAGGCCUCCUCGGUGGCUCCUCCACCUCCGGACUCUCGUAGCUCGGCCUCCCAUACUGUGGCUUCCUGGGGGACCCUUCCCCACCAUAACCAUACCCGCCACCUUGUUCCUCUCCGAAGCUAGGUUUCCGACCGUACCCAGAUCCAUAUUCAGAACUCGGUGCUUCGUACUCAGGCCUCCGACCAUACCCAGAUCCAUACUCCGAACUGGGCUGCUCGAACUCGGGCCUCCGACCAUACCCAGAUCCAUACUCCGAACUAGGUUGCUCGUAUUCAGGCUUCCGACCGUACCCAGAUCCAUAUUCCGUGCUAGGCUGUUCGUAUUCAGGCUUCCGACCGUACCCAGAUCCAUAUUCCGAGCUAGGCUGUUCGUAUUCAGGCUUCCGACCGUACCCAGAUCCAUAUUCCGAGCUAGGCUGUUCGUAUUCAGGCUUCCGACCGUAGCCAGAUCCAUAUUCCGAGCUAGGCUGUUCGCAUUCAGGCUUCCGACCGUACCCGGAUCCGUACUCCGAACUGGGUUCCUCGUAAUCAGGCUUCCGCCCAUGCCCAGAUCCAUACUCACCCUCCCCACCAAAACUCGACGGCGGCUUCGGCUGAUACCCAUACUCACCACCAUCACCACUGCCUCCGAACCCUCCUUGGCCAGGAGGUGGUCCGGCGUAACCAAGGACCGGACGAGGCUUGGGACGAGCAUAGCUCUUGUAUUCAUUCUCAAGAGCUUCAUCACC
This 814-nucleotide long non-coding RNA is filed under the name Vitis vinifera (wine grape). RNAcentral describes it as "long non-coding RNA (VVIN_LNC004905)". The record is from RNAcentral. Lineage: Eukaryota; Viridiplantae; Streptophyta; Magnoliopsida; Vitales; Vitaceae.